GUCACUGUUUCCAUCCCACGUCUGGGGCAGCAGGACCAGGACAGCAGGGUGACCUUGGCAGGAGCUGGGGUGAGCCCAGGGUGCUGCUGGCACCCAGAGAGCCACAAGAAAGCAGCAUGAUCCCCACACUGCCAUGGAACAGAAACCUGCUCUCAGCUGGCAUUGCCUUUGAAAUGGAAGUGCUGGAAUCUGCCCCAACACGUGGAGGAAGAGAUUUCUGUCCGGGUUGUGGGUGAGACAAGGGAAGAGGCCUCAGCAUCAUUACCUGUUACAACUCACAAGGCAAAUGCGACCAACGUGAAUUCCUGCUGAUGUUGUGAACUCUGCAAGUGCCUCAGAGAGAGGUGGGACUCUCAAGGAGUGCUGAGGAGAGCAGGCUGCUGAGGGCUGAGGAAUGGCAGCAAUGCCCACAUGUUUUCUGUUUGUGACACCGUGGCUGAUGGGGAUCAUUUAAUCACACAGAGAGACCAGUUCACUCUACCUUUGCACCAGCCCUUAAGAUGUUUCCCUUAUCUCUGGCUUUCUGCAGACGGCUGGGGCUUUCCCUGCCCGGUUCCUCUGUCACCUACAGAUGGCUUUCAGUGCUUAAUCCUUGGGAAAUGUGAGUUUCUCCAUGACUCAGCCACAGUUUCCCUGCUUGGCUGUCACAGGGUGUUUCAUCUUUUCACUUCUCGGUCCCCAUCUGUACAAAGAGGUCAGUAACGAGAGGAAAACAAGCAUAGCAGGGCCAGCUACACACAGAUCCCCGAGUGUUGAGGGGCCAUAUAAUUUCUUAAAUGAAUUGGUCACAUGAUACUCAUGAUACCCUUUUUUUUUCUUUUUCCUUCUUUACUGGGUAAUUGAAACUUCAUAGACAUUAAGAAUCUGAAACAUGCGUAACAGUUCUUUAUGUACAAACAGCUUUUUCUCUGCAAGCUGAGGGGCUUGUGGGGAAGAGAGUUCUGUGAACACUGGAGUGAGCAAGCACCUGUUUCCCACAAGUGUUACAAUUCCCACAACUGGCAGGAACAGUUGAUGUUCAGGGUAUAAAUGCAAAUUUUCCAUCUCUGCAUCACAGGAUUAUCCGCGUUGUCCCCAGUUAAACCUCCUCACUCAACAUAUAACUAAAUCUUUCCAAAUGACCAUGCCCUGCUCCCUCUAAUAACUUCUGCCUUCAUCUGGCCUAACUUCUGCCCAAGUCUUUGUGUUUCCUAUAGGCUCAAAUCUUGAAGACCUCAAUUAAUCUCCUAGAGCAGGGGGUCUCCAACAAGAGGAGACCAGAGGCCCAAGAACAUGGGUGGGUGAGUUGGGUUUUAUUUAAUGGGAGACACCUGGCCACCAGAUUGGCACCGUGCCAAUGGAAAGGUCCCUGCUGAAGCCAGGGUGUGUAAUUUGACCUUGUAAAUUCAGCAACAUGGGAAGCAAUUACACAGAAAUCCAAGCUCCAGCAGGCAGGGCUGCACUCUGCUGCUCUUGGGGGAACGACACACAGUGAAGGUGGGGAUUGAGCUGAUACUGAGUUGGCAGCAGCCCUCAGUCCUCUGAAAUUCAUGGCCUGUCUUCAGAAAGGAGGAAUAAUAUGUAAAAACAUCUUCUGGCCACCCAUUUCCACGCUGCCACUCAGCCCUGACCCAUUAUUUGGGAAAUUGCUACUUGAGGAAGGAAAAGAUAAAUCAGCGUACAUUGGACAAACAACUAGAAACUCUGGCUCAAGGCAGGGAAUCAGAGGACAGCAGACUCCAAACUUUUCUGCUAGUUUAGUAAAAUGGUUUGAUAUGAUCUACUAAGCAGGGGAAGUCAAAGACAAGCUGCCCUGCUGGGCAAUAUGAAGAAACAGCUGGGAAGAGACUGUCUGGCAGAAAGAACUGGGCUCAAGGAGGUAGAAGUGAUCCUUUCUCAGAUGUUAUUUUCCUUAACUACACUCAGCACCAUCUGAUGGAGCUCACUGGUCACAUCAUCACGCUUCCCACCGUGGGGAAAUCAUGUGGUACAGACACUGGAACAUGGAGAGCUGCUCCUGGAGGCCAAGAAAGCAGCUGGGAAAACACCACAGCCAAGGCAGCUCUGCCACAGGCAGCACCAGAUGGAAUCUGGACAUGCAGACCCAGCCUCCAAUGACCCUGCACCCCACUCCAGGGACAGCACAGCAUCACAUCGUGGCAGGAAAGCUGAUUUUGGGGAAAUGGAAAUAGCACCAGCACAAAUCACUCCCAGCUGAAUUGUUCAUGGACCUUCAGACACCAUCAAAGUCAGGAGCACAGCAGGUUCGUGGCCAAAUUCACUCACUCCAUUCUCACACUGGGAGGGGAGAGGGUCAGCAGUAAAGAGAUGUGUUCAUUAUUCUGUGUUUGAAGGAAACACUCAACCAGAGACCUAUUUUUCUUUCUAUGAGAGAGUAAAUUGGCCAUAGCUGCAAAUGAACUGCAGGGAUCCACUAUAAACCAGGAUAAAAAAAAAUAAUUUUAU
Molecule: long non-coding RNA, 2445 nt
Organism: Melospiza melodia melodia
Lineage: Eukaryota; Metazoa; Chordata; Aves; Passeriformes; Passerellidae
Exons: 3
Source: RefSeq, a predicted model, not a curated record